RNAcentral lists this ribosomal RNA (491 nucleotides) under uncultured bacterium. RNAcentral's name for it is "partial 16S ribosomal RNA". It matches the Rfam family "Bacterial small subunit ribosomal RNA", at positions 29 to 506 of the family's 1533-position model. The record is from RNAcentral.
AGUGAACGCUGGCGGUAGGCCUAACACAUGCAAGUCGAACGGCAGCACAGUAAGAGCUUGCUCUUACGGGUGGCGAGUGGCGGACGGGUGAGGAAUACAUCGGAAUCUACUUUUUCGUGGGGGAUAACGUAGGGAAACUUACGCUAAUACCGCAUACGACCUACGGGUGAAAGCAGGGGAUCUUCGGACCUUGCGCGAUUGCAUGAGCCGAUGUCGGAUUAGCUAGUUGGCGGGGUAAAGGCCCACCAAGGCGACGAUCCGUAGCUGGUCUGAGAGGAUGAUCAGCCACACUGGAACUGAGACACGGUCCAGACUCCUACGGGAGGCAGCAGUGGGGAAUAUUGGACAAUGGGCGCAAGCCUGAUCCAGCCAUACAGCGUGGGUGAAGAAGGCCUUCGGGUGGUAAAGCCCUUUUGUUGGGAAAGAAAAGCAGCAGGUUAAUACCCCGCUGUUCGGACGGUACCCAAAGAAUAAGCACCGGCUAACUUCGU